UACGUAGGGGGCGAGCGUUGUCCGGAUUCAUUGGGCGUAAAGCGCGCGCAGGCGGUUGGGAGAGCCCGGCGUGAAAGCCCCCAGCUCAACUGGGGGAGGCCGUCGGGGACCUUCCGACUGGAGGCCGGUAGGGGCGAGCGGAAUUCCCGGUGUAGUGGUGGAAUGCGUAGAUAUCAGGAGGAACACCGGUGGCGAAGGCGGGUCUCUGGGCCUGCACUGACGCUGAGGAGCGAAAGCGUGGGGAGCGAACAGG
RNAcentral lists this ribosomal RNA (253 nucleotides) under uncultured bacterium. RNAcentral describes it as "partial 16S ribosomal RNA". It matches the Rfam family "Bacterial small subunit ribosomal RNA", at positions 524 to 776 of the family's 1533-position model. The record is from RNAcentral.